Molecule: long non-coding RNA, 2279 nt
Organism: Scylla paramamosain (green mud crab)
Lineage: Eukaryota; Metazoa; Arthropoda; Malacostraca; Decapoda; Portunidae
Exons: 2
Source: RefSeq, a predicted model, not a curated record
UGCAGCUCUUGCUAUCUUCUACCACCAACUACGUGCCUCCCCUCCUCAUGUGCCCUUGCUGCACAAGACUUCCUUCUUUCUCUCACUCCUUCUCUGUCUACCUCUCUAAUACAUGAGUUAAUCAGUAUUCUCAUUCAUUCAUCCCUCUUUGGUAAACUCUGGAACUCCCUACCUGCUUCUGUAUUUCCAUCUUCCUAUGACUUGAAUUCUUUCAAGAGGGAGGUUUCAAGACACUCUUUUUUUUUUUAUUAUGAUUAUUAUUAUUAUUCUAUUUGACAUUGGUAUAGGAAUUGGCAUCAAGUGGGCUUUUCUUUUUAUUAAAAAUUUUUGUGUCCCUUGGCCAGUGGCCCGCUCACCUAACACACACACACAGCAGCAGAGGAGCUGACAGGACGUGUUUUUCUAGUGCUCUGCAUAUAGAAGGACGGAAUAACACAAAUUGCUCAUGGUGGAACAAGAUAUGUUAUGAAGAUCCUGGAAUACCUAGGUGGUAAAUAGGGAAGAAAGAAACAGUACUACACAAGAUGGAUUAUGAUGCAGAAAUGAAGAGGAUUCAGAAGAUGUUGGAUGAAGUAGAAGUGAGUAGCUCAUAAGACAAAGAAAGUGUGGGGAGGGAUGUUCCUGCCUCCAACAGUGAAAGUGAAGAAGAUUACCUGGAAGAGGAUCUGCAUGUUCCUAAUUUUGAAUGUUAUGAAUCAGACCCAGAUGAUCUACCAGACCAGCCCCAAAAGAAAAAGGCAAAAAAUUGAUGGAUGGAAGGGAAAAAGAUAAAACAACAUGAUGGAAGAAGAAUGUUCCUAAAUUGCUAUGUCAUACCCUUUCUAGCAAUGUUAUCAAAUUUACACCAGAACUAAAAGGACCAGCUCUAAAUGCCAAUUCUCCUGCAGACUUUUGGGGAGUCUUCAUCACGGCAGAAAUAAUUGGUUUAUUAGUAGAACAUACUAACUCGAUGAUCGCUAUGCAGAAAGGGAACUAUACUCAGCCCUACAGAACAAAAGACACUGAUGUUUUCGAAGUGAAGGCAUUGACUGGACUGCUUAUGUUAGCUGGUACAUAUCAUGUUAGCAGGCUGCACCUUGCUCAUAUUUGGAAAGCAGAUGGUACUGGCAUUGAGGUGUUCAGGCUGACUACGUCACUGGAUUGCUUUCAUUUUCUAUUAUGUUGUCUAUAAUUUGAUGACAAAGCAACAAGUGAGAAAAGAAAGAAGGUGGAUAAGCUUGCCCCAGUUAGGCAAAUAUUUGAGAUGUUUGUGGAAAAUUGCAAAAAGAAAAACACCCCAUCAGAAUUUGUGACUAUAGAUGAAAUGCUUGUAGCCUUUAGGGGCCACUGUCCCUUUAGGAAAUAUAUACCCAGUAAACCAGCCAAAUAUGGCAUCAAAUCAUCACGUUCUAUAAUUCAACCAAAGGAGGAAUAGAUGUGCUUGACAUGAUGAUGGAUAAGUAUUACGUUUCCAGAAACAGCUGGUGUUGGCCUCUAAUUGUGUUCUUUGCUCUGCUGAACAUUGUCUGUGUAAAUUCGUAUGUCCUGUAUGCUCACAAUCCACAGAAUAAACUCAAGCACUGCAAAUUCAUCAAGAAAGUAUGCAUGAUGCUAUUAGAAGACACUCUAAAGAAAAGACUGUAGAACAAAAGGCCAAAAGGUCUCAGAACAGAAAUUGCAAGGCUGUUCCCUGAAAUUGCAGAUGCAACAUCCUCAACAAGCUCACAGUUGUUACAAUGCCAGGCAAAGAGAUGUGUAUUUUGUGCCAGGUCAAAGGAUCGAAAGGUGAAAACAGUAUGUAGCACAUGCGGGAAACAUGUUUGCAGGGAUCACAGUAAGAUGACUGUGAGUUGCAUAGAUUGCAAGAAUGUAGCAGUAAGUGGUGAAUCAGAGUGAAUGUAAUGGUAUGUAAUGAACUCACUUUUUUUUUUUUCAAUUUCAAUUCAUGGAAAUAUUUUUUGUUUACUUUUGAUGAAAAGAAAAAAAUGUUUAUGUAACAAAUUUAUUCCUAUGUAAUGAGCUCACUUUUUUUUUUUUUUUUUUUCAACUCAUGAAAAUUUUUGUGUUUGCUUUGGAUAAAGAAACCAUGUUUAUGGUUUAUGUAUUAAAUUUAUAAUAAUUUUCCUUUCAAUAAAUAAUUAUAUCUUUAGUUCAAGCUUUGAUUUGAUGUAUUUUGUAAGGGAGAUUUGCCUAUUAUGUAAUAUUUUUUUUCAAUGUUAAUAUUCAUCAUAUAUAUUAAAGAUUCAUACAAACAUGUGUAUCUUGUGGGUCUUUUAAAAAUAAAUGUGACCUGAAUUUAA